RNAcentral lists this long non-coding RNA (516 nucleotides) under Manacus vitellinus (golden-collared manakin). Its description in RNAcentral is "lncRNA (ENSMVIG00005018139.1)". The record is from RNAcentral. Lineage: Eukaryota; Metazoa; Chordata; Aves; Passeriformes; Pipridae.
AAUGGAUUGGAACUAUUCUGGAGUGACAUACCCACAAUCAAAUAAGGCAGCUCACUGCCUUCAGGCUUAAGUCACUUUCCUAACAGCCCAACCACCCAAAUGAUCUGUUCACACCGCACACUUCUCUUGUUCCACCUCAUGUUUCUGUUUCUCCCGCUUUUCCCCUCUCCAAAGUACAUCGGUUUCCACAGAAACAAAACACGUCAUCGGAAUGGACAGAACUUGGUGACAUCCCCGAGCGCAGACAGAAAAUGCAGUUUAGUGGAUGGUGAUGGGAUUUCAGCUGUCGAUGACAAGCAAGAAACAAAGGUUAAGAAAAUACCUAUAACCUCAUGACUUCCUGAGAAAACAAGGUGCACAUGAUGACGGCUUACAAAAACAAUCUGCUGUCCUAGUAAAAACCUAAUGCAAUCCAUCCUACAUUCCUUGUGUUAUCAAAUAUAAAAUCUGAAGUAAAUCAAGCAUUUUUCUGGCCAGUGCCCUUUUCCCUGCCUAAACCCCUACGUAAUGUGUUGG